GACGAGCGCUGGCGGCGUGCUUAACACAUGCAAGUCGAACGGAAAGGCCCUGCUUUUGUGGGGUGCUCGAGUGGCGAACGGGUGAGUAACACGUGAGUAACCUGCCCUUGACUUUGGGAUAACUUCAAGAAACUGGGGCUAAUACCGGAUAGGAGCUCCUGCUGCAUGGUGGGGGUUGGAAAGUUUCGGCGGUUGGGGAUGGACUCGCGGCUUAUCAGCUUGUUGGUGGGGUAGUGGCUUACCAAGGCUUUGACGGGUAGCCGGCCUGAGAGGGUGACCGGCCACAUUGGGACUGAGAUACGGCCCAGACUCCUACGGGAGGCAGCAGUGGGGAAUAUUGCACAAUGGGCGGAAGCCUGAUGCAGCAACGCCGCGUGCGGGAUGACGGCCUUCGGGUUGUAAACCGCUUUCGCCUGUGACGAAGCGUGAGUGACGGUAAUGGGUAAAGAAGCACCGGCUAACUACGUG
This 468-nucleotide ribosomal RNA is filed under the name uncultured bacterium. RNAcentral describes it as "partial 16S ribosomal RNA". It matches the Rfam family "Bacterial small subunit ribosomal RNA", at positions 28 to 507 of the family's 1533-position model. The record is from RNAcentral.